CUAAGAUGGCUACCACUACCAAGUACAGCUGGUUUCUCAUGGGUGUAUAGGAGCCCCAUAGAGGUAAAAUGUACUCCUUGAGAUUGCAUAAUUCACUGGAAAGAGGCCUGGCCAUGGAGCAGAUGCCUAGUCUCACCCCAGGCUAUAUUCUGCUUAUCUUGCUCAUUGCCUCCUCAAGAUGUUCCACUGGGCGGGUGACAAAGCUUUGGCCCUCAUGAUCAAAUCUGUUACAAUCAAUAGUCCAAGGAAGCAGAAUAAUCUUAUUUAUUAAGCCCAUUCCCAAGCAUCAGCUGAAUUAUUUCCUGGCAUCAAAAUGAGCUGUUCCUGAAUUACACACCUGAAGAAAAGAGCUCUGUGUAAGCUCAAAAGCUUGCCUCUGUCACCAACAGAAGUUGGUCCAAUAAAAAAUAUUACCUCA
Mauremys mutica (yellowpond turtle) is the source of this 418-nucleotide long non-coding RNA. RefSeq lists it as uncharacterized. NCBI's taxonomy places the organism in Eukaryota, Metazoa, Chordata, Testudines, Geoemydidae. The record is from RefSeq and is a predicted model, not a curated record. The transcript is spliced from 2 exons.